RNAcentral lists this long non-coding RNA (1890 nucleotides) under Oryctolagus cuniculus (rabbit). RNAcentral describes it as "lncRNA (ENSOCUG00000035001.1)". Lineage: Eukaryota; Metazoa; Chordata; Mammalia; Lagomorpha; Leporidae. The record is from RNAcentral.
ACAUCAAUCAGACCGUGCAGCGCCCCGGUGGCCCCCAGCCCGUGGGCGGGGCGGUGUCAGGCCUCGUCCCGGCCCGGUCCCGGUUCUGGGCAGAGCCCCGCUGGACUCGCCUCCGGCUCUUGGGCCCUCCCGGUCACCACUCGCGCUGCUCCGGGCCCUGCGCCACCGCUCCUAGCCCAAGCCCGCCCUUCCGAGGAAGGAAAGUACAAAGGCGGCGACGGGGCCGCCGAGGGGGGGGGGGGGCAGGGAGAGGAGGAGGAGGGGGACGGAGGGGGCUCGGGCGCGCCAGACGCGAGGAGCCCGCCCCUGCCACCCCUGCCCGCGGGCCUGGCCGCCGCAACAAAAGACCCCCGACCCAGCCGCCUCGCUUCCGACCGAGGGCGGCGAGCGAGCCGCGCCCCCGGGGGCUGCAUUACCUGGUCGCAAAGGGUUAAGCGGUCCUGUCAGCCCCAAGUUCAUGGUUUGGGUCCUUGGCAGGGCUCUCGAUGGGUGAUCAUCAGAAACCAGGGGGAAAACACCAAAGCGCACGGAGAGAAAACGCCCAACUCCAACCCGGCUCGGUCCGCCAAGAGUCUUCCUCGCCAAAGUCUGAGAGCGGAUGCAAGCGAACCAAAUCCGAACCGGAGUCGCAGCAGCCUUCGGGCGGCCGAGAGCCAGCGCCGCGCGCACACAUCCAGUGCGGCCGAGUCCAGGCGGGCGGCGGGAGGGCGCCCGGCCCGCGCUCGCCGGCUGCCUCCCUGCCGCUUCUGCGGCGCACGGGGCCGGGCGGCGCGGCGGGGGGCUCGCGAGGCGCGUCCCGGGCCGGGAAGCUGGCGGGCGAGGUGGAGAGGUGCGGCCCGAGCCGCCGCCGCGGCGCGCGGAGCUAGGAGCGAGGCGGCGGCGGCGGCGACAGGACAAAGGAGACCAUUUGCGGAGGGAGGGAGGAGGGAGGAGGAGGAGGAGGUGAAGGAGGAGGAGGAGGGCGCGCGGCGGCGGCGGCGGCGGCUGCUCCCCGGCGGCCGCCUCGGGCUCCCCGACAGCGGGUCCCGCCUCUCCAGCAGCGCCGCGGGCUGGCUGGUCCCGGGCCCGCCGCCGUCGCAGCGGCGCUGGAGGGGGACGCUCCGGGAGUCUUUGAUUUUGUGUCGACCUCGCCGGCGCGAGGCGGCGGGAGGCGCUGCAGCGGCCGGGGCGCCGGGCGGGCUGCGCGGGGCCGCCGGCGCCUGCUGGCCAGAGCUCGCGGGCAGGUGGGCGAGCGCCCGGGGCUGGCUCAGCUCCGGCCCGAGCUCCGCUGGCGGGCGCCUGCUUCUCCCGCCGCUUCACGGCUCAAGUGAACUCCAUCGGCGGCCGCCGCCGGCGCCGCGGGCUCCCGGGCUGGACGGUGGCAGGAGGGGGCGGCGGCGGCGGCGGGAGGGAGGGGGCGCCGGGCUCCAGACUUCGCUCCCCGACUGCGCCGAGCGCGCCUCUUCCAGACGCUCGCAGAUCUCGGAGCGGGACUUCCUCGGCGCGCGGAGCCCGAGCCGCCAGAGCCACCGCCCCUCUUCGAUGCAGCCCCGCCCCGCGCGCCCCGCCCCGCGCCGCCCCUCCUCUCGGCCCCGGCGCCGGGUCGGCCCCGCGGGGGCGCAGUCCCCGGGCGCGACAUGGACAGCUGUUGCUCCCCGCGCCGCUCAGGCCCUUGGGCCCCGAGGCUGCCUUCCCCGCGGGCGGAUGCGCGGCGGGAACUGCAAACCUCCGCGCCUUCCCCGCGGUCGCCGUGGCAGGGAAAGGCCACUAGGCCCGCGGCCCGGGGGUGAACUGCGGCUAGGCCGGUCACAUCUGCAAAAAGCUGGCUCACUGGGCAGUUGUGAGGGGUCGAUGGGAGUCAGAUAUGUCAGAGUCCUGGCACUCGGGGGGGGGGCGCUUAGCACAAGAUGA